This is a non-coding RNA of Maylandia zebra (zebra mbuna), 164 nucleotides long. Lineage: Eukaryota; Metazoa; Chordata; Actinopteri; Cichliformes; Cichlidae. The record is from RefSeq and is a predicted model, not a curated record.
GGAAACCGCAAGCUUUAUCGCUUUCAAUCAAAUGCAAGCACUUCAGAGCAGGGGAACUUUGAAGGUGUCUUCAUUGAGAAAGAUGAGGAAGUUGCUGAGUUUGUGAAAUACAUCCAGAGACACACAAAUGAUAUCAAAUGGGGAGGUGCGUUUCAGGAUGGGGA